This is a long non-coding RNA of Felis catus (domestic cat), 534 nucleotides long. RefSeq lists it as uncharacterized. NCBI's taxonomy places the organism in Eukaryota, Metazoa, Chordata, Mammalia, Carnivora, Felidae. The record is from RefSeq and is a predicted model, not a curated record. The transcript is spliced from 3 exons.
GUUCUUCUUGCAGGGUUGCUGCCAGUAAGGCUGGGACUCAGAUGAGCUACUUUUAUGAAGAGCUUUGGCCGUGAAAGCUGACCUAGAGGCUGUCACCACACGUCCCAUCCCUGCCGGCAGCAGCAGCAUGACAGACAGAAACCUACUCUUCUGAAUGCUGCUCUGUGAUGCCAGAAUUGGGACUCUGCAAAGCACACGUGUCGGUCAGGAUUUAACCAGAGAAGAAGAACUGGAAGCUUCGGUGUAACUUUGAAGGGCUACCAAGAUCAUCCAGGAUCAUCUCCCUUACUUGCAGCCGACUGAUCAGGGUCUCUAGUUUCAUUUGCAUAAUCUCUUCAGAGUGACAUCUAAAUAAUAAUUCAGUUGAAUCGUUGGAAACUAUCACCUUUGCAAGUUUACAUGUGGAAAAAGCUAUCACGGUGCUAAGCUAUCCCCCUUAGCAAUUUGGCACCUACACACGUCUUCUUUUUUUUUUUUUUAACGUUUAUUUACUAUUGGGAGACAGAGCGACGCAAAGUGUGAGCAGGGGAGGGG